GAUUAAGUUAUUAAGGGCGCACGGUGGAUGCCUUGGCACUAGAAGCCGAUGAAGGACGUUACUAACGACGAUAUGCUUUGGGGAGCUGUAAGUAAGCUUUGAUCCAGAGAUUUCCGAAUGGGGAAACCCAGCAUGAGUUAUGUCAUGUUAUCGAUAUGUGAAUACAUAGCAUAUCAGAAGGCACACCCGGAGAACUGAAACAUCUUAGUACCCGGAGGAAGAGAAAGAAAAUUCGAUUCCCUUAGUAGCGGCGAGCGAAACGGGAAGAGCCCAAACCAACAAGCUUGCUUGUUGGGGUUGUAGGACACUCUAUACGGAGUUACAAAGGACGACAUUAGACGAAUCAUCUGGAAAGAUGAAUCAAAGAAGGUAAUAAUCCUGUAGUCGAAAAUGUUGUCUCUCUUGAGUGGAUCCUGAGUACGACGGAGCACGUGAAAUUCCGUCGGAAUCUGGGAGGACCAUCUCCUAAGGCUAAAUACUCUCUAGUGACCGAUAGUGAACCAGUACCGUGAGGGAAAGGUGAAAAGCACCCCGGAAGGGGAGUGAAAUAGAACCUGAAACCGUGUGCUUACAAGUAGUCAGAGCCCGUUAAUGGGUGAUGGCGUGCCUUUUGUAGAAUGAACCGGCGAGUUACGAUUUGAUGCAAGGUUAAGCAGUAAAUGUGGAG
This 667-nucleotide ribosomal RNA is filed under the name Staphylococcus aureus. RNAcentral describes it as "partial 23S ribosomal RNA". It matches the Rfam family "Bacterial large subunit ribosomal RNA", at positions 1 to 665 of the family's 2925-position model. The record is from RNAcentral. Lineage: Bacteria; Bacillati; Bacillota; Bacilli; Caryophanales; Staphylococcaceae.